This 497-nucleotide ribosomal RNA is filed under the name uncultured bacterium. RNAcentral describes it as "partial 16S ribosomal RNA". It matches the Rfam family "Bacterial small subunit ribosomal RNA", at positions 28 to 507 of the family's 1533-position model. The record is from RNAcentral.
GACGAACGCUGGCGGCGUGCCUAAUACAUGCGAGUUGAGCGCUGAAGGUUGGUACUUGUACCAACUGGAUGAGCAGCGAACGGGUGAGUAACGCGUGGGGAAUCUGCCUUUGAGCGGGGGACAACAUUUGGAAACGAAUGCUAAUACCGCAUAAAAACUUUAAACACAAGUUUUAAGUUUGAAAGGUGCAAUUGCAUCACUCAAAGAUGAUCCCGCGUUGUAUUAGCUAGUUGGUGAGGUAAAGGCUCACCAAGGCGAUGAUACAUAGCCGACCUGAGAGGGUGAUCGGCCACAUUGGGACUGAGACACGGCCCAAACUCCUACGGGAGGCAGCAGUAGGGAAUCUUCGGCAAUGGACGAAAGUCUGACCGAGCAACUCCGCGUGAGUGAAGAAGGUUUUCGGAUCGUAAAACUCUGUUGGUAGAGAAGAACGUUGGUGAGAGUGGAAAGCUCAUCAAGUGACGGUAACUACCCAGAAAGGGACGGCUAACUACGUG